AUUGAACGCUGGCGGCAUGCCUUACACAUGCAAGUCGAACGGCAGCACGGGUGCUUGCUCCUGGUGGCGAGUGGCGAACGGGGGAGUAUUACAUCGGCACCUGUCCCGUCUUGGGGGUUGGGCCGGCGAAAGCGGGAUUAAUACUGCAAACGAAUUACGGGUGAAAGCGGGGGCCCGUCGGCCUUCGAGCUUUCGGGUUGGCCGAUGGCUGAUUAGCUAGUUGGUGGGGUAAAGGCCUACCAAGGCGACGAUCAGUAGCUGGUCUGAGAGGACGACCAGCCACACUGGAACUGAGACACGGCCCAGACUCCUACGGGAGGCAGCAGUGGGGAAUUUUGGACAAUGGGCGAAAGCCUGAUCCAGCAAUGCCGCGUGUGUGAAGAAGGCCUUCGGGUUGUAAAGCACUUUUGUCCGGAAAGAAAUCCUUGGGCCUAAUACGGUCGGGGGAUGACGGUACCGGAAGAAUAAGCACCGGCUAACUACGUG
RNAcentral lists this ribosomal RNA (486 nucleotides) under uncultured bacterium. RNAcentral's name for it is "partial 16S ribosomal RNA". It matches the Rfam family "Bacterial small subunit ribosomal RNA", at positions 30 to 507 of the family's 1533-position model. The record is from RNAcentral.